UCCUACGGGAGGCAGCAGUGGGGAAUAUUGCACAAUGGAGGGAACUCUGAUGCAGCGACGCCGCGUGAGUGAAGAAGGUCUUCGGAUCGUAAAACUCUGUCCUUGGUGAAGAAAAGGACGGUAGCCAAGGAGGAAGCCCCGGCUAACUACGUGCCAGCAGCCGCGGUAAUACGUAGGGGGCGAGCGUUGUCCGGAUUUACUGGGCGUAAAGGGUGAGUAGGCGGUUAUAUAUGUCAGGUGUAAAAAGCUAUGGCUUAACCAUAGUAAGCACUUGAAACUGUAUGACUUGAGUGCAGGAGAGGUAAGCGGAAUUCCUAGUGUAGCGGUGAAAUGCGUAGAUAUUAGGAGGAACACCGGUGGCGAAGGCGGCUUACUGGACUGUAACUGACGCUGAGUCACGAAAGCGUGGGUAGCAAACAGGAUUAGAUACCCUGGUAGUCCACGCUGUAAACGAUGAGUGCUAGGUGUUGGGUAGCGAUAUUCAGUGCCGGAGUAAACACAAUAAGCACUCCGCCUGGGGAGUACGGUCGCAAGACUGAAACUCAAAGGAAUUGACGGGGACCCGCACAAGCAGCGGAGCAUGUGGUUUAAUUCGAAGCAACGCGAAGAACCUUACCAAGGCUUGACAUCCCCUUGACAGAUGCAGAGAUGUAUCCUCCCCUUCGGGGGCAAGGGAGACAGGUGGUGCAUGGUUGUCGUCAGCUCGUGUCGUGAGAUGUUGGGUUAAGUCCCGCAACGAGCGCAACCCUUAUCCUUAGUUGCCAGCACAUAUGGUGGGCACUCUAAGGAGACUGCCGGUGAUAAACCGGAGGAAGGUGGGGAUGACGUCAAAUCAUCAUGCCCCUUAUGUCUUGGGCUACACACGUGCUACAAUGGUCGGUACAACGGGCAGCGAAGGAGCGAUCCGGAGCAAAUCCCAAUAAACCGAUCCCAGUUCGGAUUGCAGGCUGCAACUCGCCUGCAUGAAGUCGGAGUUGCUAGUAAUCGCGAAUCAGAACGUCGCGGUGAAUGCGUUCCCGGGUCUUGUACACACCGCCCGUCACACCAUGGGAGUUGGGGGCGCCCGAAGUCAGCUACUAAAGGCUGCCGAAGGUGAAACCAAUGACUGGGGUGAAGUCGUAACAAGGUAACCA
RNAcentral lists this ribosomal RNA (1133 nucleotides) under uncultured bacterium. RNAcentral's name for it is "bacterial SSU rRNA". It matches the Rfam family "Bacterial small subunit ribosomal RNA", at positions 337 to 1502 of the family's 1533-position model. The record is from RNAcentral.